UUUUGUACAUUUUGAGACUUCCUGGUUCCAGGACUCACCUGCAGGACGCGGCUCUGCUCGCUCUGCAGUCCGUCCAGGCGCUGGUCCAGAACUCCUUGACCUCUUUUCAGCGAAUCAGCUUCCACCCUCAGGUUGUGGGCGUGGCCUGAUAACACCUUCAGCUCCUCGGCUAGUUUCUGGACCAGUCCUACGUCCUGCCAGUCGUCUGCGUUGUGAUUGGUCAGCGCUCGUAGCACGGAGCUUUGCAGCGCCUCCCACCGCAGGAGGCUCUCACCGUAGUCCGGACAGUUGGGGUCCAGGAAGAUGCUGAUUGGUUCUCCUGCUGUGACACGUGACACUGUCACCAGGGCGCCAGACUCUUUGGAAUUGGUUGAAAUCACAGAUGGACCGUACCAUCUGCAGCUGCCUCUGGAGGAGGAGAUACUGAAAUGGUCCAUUCUGUGGACACCUUUAUGACGCCUAUAAGAGACAGACUCUGACCAAUCACUGUGAUCAUCUUUUACAACAUUCGGGACACAACCAGACUACCACAGUACCACAGUACUACUGCACCUCAGUACCACACUACUACAGUACUACAGUACCACUGUACCACAUAACUACAGUACCACCAUACCACAGUAGUACAGUACCACAGUACCACACUACUACAGUACUACAGUCCUACAGUAAUACAGUACCACAGUACUACAGUACUUCAGUACUACAGUACCACAGUACCACAGUACCUAACUACUACAGUACUACAGUACCACAGUACCACAGUACCAAACUACUACAGCACCACAGUACCACAGUACUACAGUACCACAGUACCUAACUACUACAGUACUACAGUACCACAGUACCACAGUACCAAACUACUACAGUACCACAGUACCACAGUACCUAACUACUACAGUACUACAGUACCACAGUACCACAGUACCAAACUACUACAGCACCACAGUACCACAGUACCACAGUACCUAACUACUACAGUACUAUAGUACCACAGUACCACAGUACCAAACUACUACAGCACCACAGUACCACAGUACUACAGUACCACAGUACAACAGUACCUAACUACUACAGUACUACAGUACCACAGUACAACAGUACCUAACUACUACAGUACUAUAGUACCACAGUACCACAGUACCAAACUACUACAGCACCACAGUACCACAGUACUACAGUACCACAGUACAACAGUACCUAACUACUACAGUACUACAGUACCACAGUACUACAGUACCACAGUACCACAGUACAACAGUACCUAACUACUACAGUACUAUAGUACCACAGUACCACAUAACCAAACUACUACAGCACCACAGUACCACAGUACUACAGUACCACAGUACAACAGUACCUAACUACUACAGUACUACAGUACCACAGUACUACAGUACUACAGUACCACAGUACCACAGUGCCUCAGUUUGAUCCAGACCCCGACCACCAAGGUUCCUCGAGUCUCUCAAACUGCAGCUUGAUGCAACAGCUUUUAGUUAAACUGUUGAUGAGCUCAUUACUUCCUGGGAUCUUGGAGAGAACUCAUGACCUAAGCAGAACCAUGACCAUCACACCUUGGGUUUACCACCCGGCCCCUGACAUCAGAGUGGACAUUGGCUGACACAGCACCUGCUGGGGCUCACCUUGUGUUUGAUUGGCCGCUUGCUGUCCAGCUCUGAACUGCUGUUGUUCAUGAUGGUCCAUCGAUCGUUCACCAUCAUCCUGAAACACAAACAGCACAGAAAACAUGAAGGUGGCUCAUUAUCCUCUUUAUCACGAUGGAGUCUUAGUCCAGGCUCCACCUCCAUCAGAUGCUGCAUUUGAGGACAAGAGGUGUCAUAGUGUCUCGACUGUUCUUUCAGACACGUCCUUCCAUCCCCACAGCCGGAUCCUCCUCAGCUCAACGGAUCCCAGGAUUCAUAGUGCUUCACUGUCAAACCGAUUUUCAAAGAGAUAAUGGCAAACACCAAAAUGUCAGAUGUUUACACUUUUAAAUGUAACAAGCUUCAACUCAACGGAAAAAUCAAAUCCAAUCAAUCAAGGGACAUUAAAACGUUCAUGUUUGAACCUCUUCAAUUAACUCUCAACCUGAACUUCUGAAGUGGACAUUUUGAAUCUCAGAAACCUUAAAGAACCUUUCUGCAGAGAACCAGAGAACCUCCACAUUCCAUCUCCUGAGGUUCUUCGUAAGACGAUGACAGAACACGUGAAUAACUUAACCUGUUUACAGUCUGAAGUAGCGUGCAGCAGCUGGUCGUCAGUUCUCUGAGACUCAGUGUCUGUGUCUGUCAGCAUCACUUUAAUCUUACUGAUUAACACAUAGGGUUAGAGUUAGAGACUUUAAACACCUCAUCACAGUCAAACGUCCCGUUCUAAAACCUCUGAUUCUAAAACAUCAGAUUCUAAAACCUCUGAUUCUAAGACAUCAGAUUCUAAAACCUCUGAUUCUAAAACAUCAGAUUCUAAAACCUCUGAUUCUAAAACCUCAGAAUCUAAAACCUCUGAUUCUAAAACAUCAGAUUCUAAAACCUCUGAUUCUAAAACCUCAGAAUCUAAAACUGUGAUCAGUUCUUAUCUGACCAAAAUUUGAUUUAUUGAGAAUCUAAGCUUAUUCAGACUAAACAGUUAUUUUACAAACAAUUUCAAUGUGCGUAUCGGGUUAAACUUUAUUUCAUAGCUUAACUUGUUGUCUGUGUCUUAUCAUCACAUAAAACAUUCAUCAUUCAACUGUUUAUUAAUGUUAGUUAUAACAUGUUAGAGUUGGUUAUAACGGUUUAGUUAGGGUCAGGGUUAGUUAUAAAGCACUUGGGUCAGUUGACCUGAUAUAAACUGAUUUAUCACCGUAUCACCAAAAAAAACAAAAGGAAAUAUAUAUGUAUAUUCUUGCGCUUUCAAAUAUCAAAAGUUGUUUCAACUUGUUAUAUUUUCAAACACAUGUUUUCUAACAAUCAUAUAUAAAUAAAUCAUUUAAAUCACAUGUAUGAAAUCAAACCUCCAAAACAUUAAGCAUGUUAUUGCUUUUAAACAAAACUCAGACAGGACGUCUGAGUGAUCACUGAUAUCAACGAUCAAUUCAAUUACCUGUCUGUCUUCAGGAUCAACACGACCUCUGACGAUGAUAAAAAUCCAAUUGAAAAUGUAUUUUCAAGUUAAAGCUUCAUGACAAGUGGAGACCAUCUGCUCUGCAGCAGGCGAGACACUGAGACACUGAGACACGGCAGGCUGAUAAUCUGAUCAGAUUUAGUUCACAGUCUGUCACAGUGUUCAGUCACAUGCCAACAACAUGUUAACCCACAAGUUAAAAACAAGCUGACAACAUAUAGUUCAACACGCUAACAUCUCGCUCACACAUGGACUAUGAUCACAACCAGACUUCGUGAUACACAACAUGUCUCCUCACAUCUUCUACCAUCAGGAACUCCUCAGUUCAUCUGCUGCUUCAUCUCCAUCAGACGUGAUGUAUCAACACUUUACACAUGAAGUUACAAACUGGUUCUUCUCAUGUAGUGAAUCCUGUUGUUGUGUUGAUGUGUUGUCUUGUUGUUGUGUUCAGUUCCAUCAGCAUGUGUGUGUCCUGGGAGAGGAUCCUCACAUGGGACUGAGCUUCAUCACUGAUCACUAAGUUUCUGUUUGACUCGUGUUGAGUUAAGAACAGGAAGUUGAUCCUUCUGAACAUCUAUCCAGCUUCAUCUUGGUCUUUAUGAGUUAGGGGAGGAAGGACCCUUCCUCUUCCUUUGAUUAUUUUUUACCUCCAGUUUCCAUAGUUUGAAAAAUCUUGAUUAUUUGCAUUUGAUUUCAUUUACAUUUUGAAAAUAAAGUUUACCGUCUGAUUGAACUCAA
Long non-coding RNA from Pleuronectes platessa (European plaice), 3843 nucleotides. RefSeq lists it as uncharacterized. The record is from RefSeq and is a predicted model, not a curated record. Lineage: Eukaryota; Metazoa; Chordata; Actinopteri; Pleuronectiformes; Pleuronectidae. The transcript is spliced from 2 exons.